GCCCAGCUAGCUCAGUCGGUAGAGCAUGAGACUCUUAAUCUCAGGGUCGUGAGUUCAAGCCCAACAUUGGGUG
Molecule: transfer RNA, 73 nt
Filed under: Neotoma lepida (desert woodrat)
Lineage: Eukaryota; Metazoa; Chordata; Mammalia; Rodentia; Cricetidae
Rfam family: tRNA
About the family: Transfer RNA (tRNA) molecules are approximately 80 nucleotides in length. Their secondary structure includes four short double-helical elements and three loops (D, anti-codon, and T loops).
Source: Rfam by way of RNAcentral